UUUGUCUAAAGUUCUUCUUUCAACAAUUGUGUGUUAAGAUAUAACUCUGGGAGCAUUUUGCAAAAUGCGUUGGAAGAGGGAGAAAACGUUGGCAUGAGGAUGAGUUUGGAUGCCUUUGAAAUAAUCCAGGCAAUAGAUAACUUUAAGAAGAGUGUUCCAGGUGGAGUGAAUAGCUUCUGCAGAAGCCCACAAUCUAAAUGCCCAACAGGGAACAUCUGUUUGGAACUCCCUUAGCUUGCUCUUCGCCAGUGCUGCUGACUUUCAUCAUGCCGGUUCACCAGCUCUGUCAGCUUGGAGGAAGUGAAAGCCCUACUCCUGGCAAUGGGUCAUUUGAGCUUACAGGCGUCAACCACUGACUUGAAGAUGUAAGCAGAUGACUAAUGUCGUUUACACAGAGUAGAAGGAUUUCUUCUCCCCAUUUCAAAUGAAUGACAUGCUGACAACAUAUAUCCUAAAGAAUCUGAGUAUUUUGAUGUUGACAUAGAGGAAAACCAGCCCAACUAACAUCUGUUGAGUGCUUGGAAUGUGCCAGACACUGUGCUAUGUGUUUUAUAUCUAUUCUAAUUUAAAACUCAUAUCAAAUUUAAGAUGUUGGUGUUAAUGUAUCAGUUUUACAGAUGAUUAACCUGUCUUCUGAUGCUUAAUGAGACUUGUGUGUUGCCAACGUGCAUAUGGCUAGCAAUGGAAAGUAUUGAUAUUAGAAUUAAGGUCUAUUUAAUUCCAGAGUCAAUGCAUAUUUCUCUGCCCCCUAAUCUCCACUAUAGGAACGAAUACAUUCUGGGAAUUCUUUCACAAGCUGUCAUUUGGAGGAUAGUACAGAAAUUACAGAAUUUCAACUGAGAAGGUCUGAAUGGAUGCAGAAUUUUGUUAUGAACUAGGUGUGUGACUUUGGACAAGUUAUUUUCUCAUCUUUUUGAGUCUCGUUAUUACUGGUGGUAUUAUACAUGUAAUGGUAAGGUGUUUCAAGUUUGGGUUCCAGCUCUGUAAUGAUUUAGCUGGAUGGUUUGGGGAAAACCGCUUUACCUGUGUAGGCCUUAGUUUUGUUUCUUUGUUUAUUUUAUCUGUAAAAUGAAAGGACUAUCGAAGCCUUGUUCCUGUUAGGUUUGAAAUUUUGUUAUACUAAGAGUUUCAAUUUCAAUAAUAAUAGUUCCGCCCAGGCAGCUAGUGGGAGCAAUUCUAAUAGUUUAUUAAUACAGAAACGAUCUUCUUUGAACAGAAAUACUAUCCUGGCCAGCCUGGGCUCCAGCCAGAUAUAUUUACAGAGCAUCCUUUAGACUGAAAUAGAAAUUUAUUGCUCA
Piliocolobus tephrosceles (Ugandan red Colobus) is the source of this 1298-nucleotide long non-coding RNA. RefSeq lists it as uncharacterized. The transcript is spliced from 3 exons. Lineage: Eukaryota; Metazoa; Chordata; Mammalia; Primates; Cercopithecidae. The record is from RefSeq and is a predicted model, not a curated record.